RNAcentral lists this ribosomal RNA (381 nucleotides) under uncultured Pseudomonas sp. RNAcentral describes it as "bacterial SSU rRNA". It matches the Rfam family "Bacterial small subunit ribosomal RNA", at positions 1000 to 1382 of the family's 1533-position model. The record is from RNAcentral. Lineage: Bacteria; Pseudomonadati; Pseudomonadota; Gammaproteobacteria; Pseudomonadales; Pseudomonadaceae.
CCAGAGAUGGAUUGGUGGCCUUCGGGAACUCUGACACAGGUGCUGCAUGGCUGUCGUCAGCCCGUGUCGUGAGAUGUUGGGUUAAGUCCGUAACGAGCGCAACCCUUGUCCUAGUUACCAGCACGUUAUGUGGGCACUCUAAGGAGACUGCCGGUGACAAACCGGAGGAAGGUGGGGAUGACGUCAAGUCAUCAUGGCCCUUACGGCCUGGGCUACACACGUGCUACAAUGGUCGGUACAAAGGGUUGCCAAGCCGCGAGGUGGAGCUAAUCCCAUAAAACCGAUCGUAGUCCGGAUCGCAGUCUGCAACUCGACUGCGUGAAGUCGGAAUCGCUAGUAAUCGUGAAUCAGAAUGUCACGGUGAAUACGUUCCCGGGCCUU